This 253-nucleotide ribosomal RNA is filed under the name uncultured bacterium. RNAcentral describes it as "partial 16S ribosomal RNA". It matches the Rfam family "Bacterial small subunit ribosomal RNA", at positions 524 to 776 of the family's 1533-position model. The record is from RNAcentral.
UACGUAGGGUCCGAGCGUUGUCCGGAAUUAUUGGGCGUAAAGGGCUCGUAGGCGGUUCGUCACGUCGGGAGUGAAAACUCGGGGCUUAACCCCGAGCCUGCUUCCGAUACGGGCAGACUAGAGGUAGGCAGGGGAGAGCGGAACUCCUGGUGUAGCGGUGGAAUGCGCAGAUAUCAGGAGGAACACCGGUGGCGAAGGCGGGUCCCUGGGCCGAUACUGACGCUGAGGAGCGAAAGCGUGGGGAGCGAACAGG